RNAcentral lists this transfer RNA (83 nucleotides) under Ophiostoma piliferum. RNAcentral describes it as "tRNA-Leu". It matches the Rfam family "tRNA". From Rfam's summary of the family: Transfer RNA (tRNA) molecules are approximately 80 nucleotides in length. Their secondary structure includes four short double-helical elements and three loops (D, anti-codon, and T loops). Lineage: Eukaryota; Fungi; Ascomycota; Sordariomycetes; Ophiostomatales; Ophiostomataceae. The record is from RNAcentral.
GUAGAUAUGCUGGAAUAGGUAGACAGGUUCUGCUUAGGACAGAAUGGUUAAAGCCAAUGCAAGUUCAAGUCUUGUUGUCUAUA